AGCUCCAAUAGCGUAUAUUAAAGUUGUUGCGGUUAAAAAGCUCGUAGUUGGAUUUCUGUCAACGAGUGGCGCUCCGCCCCUUGUGGUGAGUAGUCGUCAUGCCGUUGGCAUCUUUCUGGGGAGUGUAUCUGCACUUCAUUGUGUGGUGCAUAAGCCAGGACUUUUACUUUGAGGAAAUGAGAGUGUUUCAAGCAGGCGCACGCCGUGAAUACGUUAGCAUGGAAUAAUAGCAUCGGAUCUCGCUCCAAAGCUGUUGGUUUCUUGGGUCGAGAUAAAGGUGAAUAGGGAUUGUUGGGGGCAUUCGUAUUUAACUGUCAGAGGUGAAAUUCUUGGAUUUGUUGAAGACGGACUACUGCGAAAGCAUCUGCCAAAGAUGUUCUCA
This 382-nucleotide ribosomal RNA is filed under the name uncultured eukaryote. RNAcentral describes it as "SSU rRNA". It matches the Rfam family "Eukaryotic small subunit ribosomal RNA", at positions 587 to 972 of the family's 1831-position model. The record is from RNAcentral.